GACGAACGCUGGCGGCGUGCCUAAUACAUGCAAGUAGAACGCUGAAGAGAGGAGCUUGCUCUUCUUGGAUGAGUUGCGAACGGGUGAGUAACGCGUAGGUAACCUGCCUGGUAGCGGGGGAUAACUAUUGGAAACGAUAGCUAAUACCGCAUAAAAUGGAUCAUCGCAUGAUAAUCCAUUGAAAGGUGCAAAUGCAUCACUACCAGAUGGACCUGCGUUGUAUUAGCUAGUUGGUGGGGUAACGGCUCACCAAGGCGACGAUACAUAGCCGAACUGAGAGGGUGAUCGGCCACACUGGGACGGAGACGAGGCCCAGACUCCUACGGGAGGCAGCAGUAGGGAAUCUUCGGCAAUGGACGGAAGUCUGACCGAGCAACGCCGCGAGAGUGAAGAAGGUUUUCGGAUCGUAAAGCUCUGUUGUAAGAGAAGAACGAGUGUGAGAGUGGAAAGUUCACACUGUGACGGUAUCUUACCAGAAAGGGACGGCUAACUACGUG
RNAcentral lists this ribosomal RNA (497 nucleotides) under uncultured bacterium. RNAcentral describes it as "partial 16S ribosomal RNA". It matches the Rfam family "Bacterial small subunit ribosomal RNA", at positions 28 to 507 of the family's 1533-position model. The record is from RNAcentral.